RNAcentral lists this long non-coding RNA (1074 nucleotides) under Physeter macrocephalus (sperm whale). RNAcentral's name for it is "Physeter catodon (sperm whale) lncRNA (ENSPCTG00005016722.1)". The stretch from base 989 to 1060 matches the Rfam family "tRNA". Lineage: Eukaryota; Metazoa; Chordata; Mammalia; Artiodactyla; Physeteridae. The record is from RNAcentral.
CUCGGCCAAGCCAAACUGUCCGAAGCCGCCGGAAGCGCAGGCGCAGGGCUGGGCCGGGUUCGCGGACGCACUUCCGCCGCCGGCAGGUCUGGGGCUCCGAGGAGCUGGAUGUUCCUGAAGAGCCAAAGGGCUCUUUGAAGUAACCAAUAAAAAAGGGCCUGCUGUGGGUCGGAGAUCUGGCACAAAAGAGAUCAGCCCAAACAACCAGGAGUUAUUCUGCCAGCGCUUCCAACAUUUCUGCUACAAGGAGACUCCUGGGCCCCAUAAGGCCUUGAGCCAGCUCUGGGUGUUCUGCUGUGAGUGGUUAAGGCCUGAGAUACACACCAAGGAGCAGAUGUUGGACUUGCUGUGCUGGAGCAGUUCCUGACCAUCCUGCCUGAGGAGCUCCAGGACUGGGUACAGGAGCCUCAACCAGAGAGUGGGGAGGAGGCGGUAGCUAUGCUGGAAGAUCUGGAGAGGGAGCUGGAUGAAUCAGGCCAACAGGUUUCAACCCACGCCUGUGCACAGGAAGUGCUUUCUGAGACAUCGGUACCUCUGGAUCCAGCUAAGAAAGCAACAUAUCUCCAGCCUCAGCCCAUGGAGAUCCAGCUUAAGGGUGAAUCUCAGGACCCUCUACACCAACAGGAUUGUGAUGAUGUGAUACUAAUUGAGAAAGAAGAAUUGGUUCAAAAGCAGGAGCUUCCUGUAGAUAUGGAAUCCUAAGAAAAGUUAUCAGACCAAAUCAAUGGAGAGACUCUUGAAUGUGGAGAAACCCAAGAACAUGAAGGAUGGACAGAAAGAUAUCAGAGAAACACUUCAAAUGACAGAAGAUAUAAAUGUGAUGAAUGUGGAAAAAGAUUCACUCAAAACUCAAGCCUCAUUAGACAUAAAAGAAUCCACACUGGAGAGAGACCCUGUUCAUGUAAAGUAUGUGGCAAAACUUUCAUUCAGAGCUCACAACUUACUGACCAUCAGAGAAUACAUAGCCAAUUAAAACCGUAUCAGGGCUUCCCUGGUGGCGCAGUGGUUGCGCGUCCGCCUGCCGAUGCAGGGGAACCGGGUUCGCGCCCCGGUCUGGGAGGAUCCCGCGUGCCG